AGAGCAUCGCUCAGUGGUAGAGCACGUGCUUGGCAUGCACAAGAUCCUGGGUUCAAUCCCCAGUACCUCUG
Molecule: transfer RNA, 71 nt
Filed under: Camelus bactrianus (Bactrian camel)
Lineage: Eukaryota; Metazoa; Chordata; Mammalia; Artiodactyla; Camelidae
Also listed under: 2 other names
Rfam family: tRNA
About the family: Transfer RNA (tRNA) molecules are approximately 80 nucleotides in length. Their secondary structure includes four short double-helical elements and three loops (D, anti-codon, and T loops).
Source: Rfam by way of RNAcentral